GGGCCCGCACAAGCAGUGGAGUAUGUGGUUUAAUUCGAAGCAACGCGAAGAACCUUACCAGGAUUUGACAUCCUACUAACGAAGCAGAGAUGCAUCAGGUGCCCUUCGGGGAAAGUAGAGACAGGUGGUGCAUGGUUGUCGUCAGCUCGUGUCGUGAGAUGUUGGGUUAAGUCCCGCAACGAGCGCAACCCCUAUGGUUAGUUGCUACGCAAGAGCACUCUAGCCAGACUGCCGUUGACAAAACGGAGGAAGGUGGGGACGACGUCAAAUCAUCAUGCCCCUUAUGUCCUGGGCUACACACGUACUACAAUGGCGGCCAUACAGAGCGAAGCAAAGCAGCGAUGCGGAGCAAAUCGCUAAAAGCCGUCUCAGUUCGGAUCGCAGGCUGCAACCCGCCUGCGUGAAGUCGGAAUUGCUAGUAAUCGCGGAUCAGAAUGCCGCGGUGAAUACGUUCCCGGGCCUU
Molecule: ribosomal RNA, 463 nt
Filed under: uncultured bacterium
Lineage: Bacteria
Description: bacterial SSU rRNA
Rfam family: Bacterial small subunit ribosomal RNA
Source: RNAcentral